RNAcentral lists this transfer RNA (69 nucleotides) under Docosaccus maculatus. Its description in RNAcentral is "tRNA-Gly". Lineage: Eukaryota; Metazoa; Porifera; Hexactinellida; Lyssacinosida; Euplectellidae. The record is from RNAcentral.
AUAAUUAUAAUUUAAUAAAAAUAUUUGACUUCCAAUCAAUAAAUGUAAACAACAACCUUACUAAUUAUA